GGUUAAGCGACUAAGCGUACACGGUGGAUGCCCUGGCAGUCAGAGGCGAUGAAGGACGUGCUAAUCUGCGAAAAGCGUCGGUAAGGUGAUAUGAACCGUUAUAACCGGCGAUGUCCGAAUGGGGAAACCCAGUGUGAUUCGUCACACUAUCGUUAACUGAAUACAUAGGUUAACGAGGCGAACCGGGGGAACUGAAACAUCUAAGUACCCCGAGGAAAAGAAAUCAACCGAGAUUCCCCCAGUAGCGGCGAGCGAACGGGGAGCAGCCCAGAGUCUGAAUCAGCUUGUGUGUUAGUGGAACGGUCUGGAAAGUCCGACGGUACAGGGUGAUAGUCCCGUACACCAAAAUGCACAGGUUGUGAACUCGAAGAGUAGGGCGGGACACGUGGUAUCCUGUCUGAAUAUGGGGGGACCAUCCUCCAAGGCUAAAUACUCCUGACUGACCGAUAGUGAACCAGUACCGUGAGGGAAAGGCGAAAAGAACCCCGGCGAGGGGAGUGAAAAAGAACCUGAAACCGUGUACGUACAAGCAGUGGGAGCACCUUCGGGUGUGACUGCGUACCUUUUGUAUAAUGGGUCAGCGACUUAUAUUCUGUAGCAAGGUUAACCGUAUAGGGGAGCCGCAGGGAAACCGAGUCUUAACUGGGCGUUAAGUUGCAGGGUAUAGACCCGAAACCCGGUGAUCUAGCCAUGGGCAGGUUGAAGGUUGGGUAACACUAACUGGAGGACCGAACCGACUAAUGUUGAAAAAUUAGCGGAUGACUUGUGGCUGGGGGUGAAAGGCCAAUCAAACCGGGAGAUAGCUGGUUCUCCCCGAAAGCUAUUUAGGUAGCGCCUCGUGAACUCAUCUUCGGGGGUAGAGCACUGUUUCGGCUAGGGGGUCAUCCCGACUUACCAACCCGAUGCAAACUACGAAUACCGAAGAAUGUUAUCACGGGAGACACACGGCGGGUGCUAACGUCCGUCGUGAAGAGGGAAACAACCCAGACCGCCAGCUAAGGUCCCAAAGUCAUGGUUAAGUGGGAAACGAUGUGGGAAGGCACAGACAGCCAGGAUGUUGGCUUAGAAGCAGCCAUCAUUUAAAGAAAGCGUAAUAGCUCACUGGUCGAGUCGGCCUGCGCGGAAGAUGUAACGGGGCUAAACCAUGCACCGAAGCUGCGGCAGCGACACUAUGUGUUGUUGGGUAGGGGAGCGUUCUGUAAGCCUGCGAAGGUGACCUGUGAGGGUUGCUGGAGGUAUCAGAAGUGCGAAUGCUGACAUAAGUAACGAUAAAGCGGGUGAAAAGCCCGCUCGCCGGAAGACCAAGGGUUCCUGUCCAACGUUAAUCGGGGCAGGGUGAGUCGACCCCUAAGGCGAGGCCGAAAGGCGUAGUCGAUGGGAAACAGGUUAAUAUUCCUGUACUUGGUGUUACUGCGAAGGGGGGACGGAGAAGGCUAUGUUAGCCGGGCGACGGUUGUCCCGGUUUAAGCAUGUAGGCUGAUUGUCCAGGCAAAUCCGGAUAAUCAAGGCUGAGGUGUGAUGACGAGGCACUACGGUGCUGAAGUAACAAAUGCCCUGCUUCCAGGAAAAGCCUCUAAGCAUCAGGUAACAUCAAAUCGUACCCCAAACCGACACAGGUGGUCAGGUAGAGAAUACCAAGGCGCUUGAGAGAACUCGGGUGAAGGAACUAGGCAAAAUGGUGCCGUAACUUCGGGAGAAGGCACGCUGGUGUGUAGGUGAAGUCCCUGCGGAUGGAGCUGAGACCAGUCGAAGAUACCAGCUGGCUGCAACUGUUUAUUAAAAACACAGCACUGUGCAAACACGAAAGUGGACGUAUACGGUGUGACGCCUGCCCGGUGCCGGAAGGUUAAUUGAUGGGGUUAUCCGUAAGGAGAAGCUCUUGAUCGAAGCCCCGGUAAACGGCGGCCGUAACUAUAACGGUCCUAAGGUAGCGAAAUUCCUUGUCGGGUAAGUUCCGACCUGCACGAAUGGCGUAAUGAUGGCCAGGCUGUCUCCACCCGAGACUCAGUGAAAUUGAACUCGCUGUAAAGAUGCAGUGUACCCGCGGCAAGACGGAAAGACCCCGUGAACCUUUACUAUAGCUUGACACUGAACAUUGAGCCUUGAUGUGUAGGAUAGGUGGGAGGCUUUGAAGCGUGGACGCCAGUCUGCGUGGAGCCAACCUUGAAAUACCACCCUUUAAUGUUUGAUGUUCUAACGUUGGCCCCUUACCGGGGUUGCGGACAGUGUCUGGUGGGUAGUUUGACUGGGGCGGUCUCCUCCCAAAGCGUAACGGAGGAGCACGAAGGUUAGCUAAUCCUGGUCGGACAUCAGGAGGUUAGUGCAAUGGCAUAAGCUAGCUUGACUGCGAGCGUGACGGCGCGAGCAGGUGCGAAAGCAGGUCAUAGUGAUCCGGUGGUUCUGAAUGGAAGGGCCAUCGCUCAACGGAUAAAAGGUACUCCGGGGAUAACAGGCUGAUACCGCCCAAGAGUUCAUAUCGACGGCGGUGUUUGGCACCUCGAUGUCGGCUCAUCACAUCCUGGGGCUGAAGUAGGUCCCAAGGGUAUGGCUGUUCGCCAUUUAAAGUGGUACGCGAGCUGGGUUUAGAACGUCGUGAGACAGUUCGGUCCCUAUCUGCCGUGGGCGCUGGAGAAUUGAGGGGGGCUGCUCCUAGUACGAGAGGACCGGAGUGGACGCAUCACUGGUGUUCGGGUUGUCAUGCCAAUGGCACUGCCCGGUAGCUAAAUGCGGAAGAGAUAAGUGCUGAAAGCAUCUAAGCACGAAACUUGCCCCGAGAUGAGUUCUCCCUGAGACUUUAAGUCUCCUGAAGGAACGUUGAAGACGACGACGUUGAUAGGCCGGGUGUGUAAGCGCAGCGAUGCGUUGAGCUAACCGGUACUAAUGAACCGUGAGGCUUAACCUU
Molecule: ribosomal RNA, 2902 nt
Filed under: Klebsiella pneumoniae
Lineage: Bacteria; Pseudomonadati; Pseudomonadota; Gammaproteobacteria; Enterobacterales; Enterobacteriaceae
Description: 23S ribosomal RNA
Rfam family: Bacterial large subunit ribosomal RNA
Source: RNAcentral